RNAcentral lists this ribosomal RNA (253 nucleotides) under uncultured bacterium. RNAcentral describes it as "partial 16S ribosomal RNA". It matches the Rfam family "Bacterial small subunit ribosomal RNA", at positions 524 to 776 of the family's 1533-position model. The record is from RNAcentral.
UACGUAGGGUGCGAGCGUUGUCCGGAAUUAUUGGGCGUAAAGAGCUCGUAGGCGGCCUGUCGCGUCGGAUGUGAAAGCCCGGGGCUUAACCCCGGGUCAGCAUUCGAUACGGGCAGGCUAGAGUUCGGUAGGGGAGAUCGGAAUUCCUGGUGUAGCGGUGAAAUGCGCAGAUAUCAGGAGGAACACCGGUGGCGAAGGCGGAUCUCUGGGCCGAUACUGACGCUGAGGAGCGAAAGCGUGGGGAGCGAACAGG